GAUGAAGAACGUAGCGAAAUGCGAUAAGUAAUGUGAAUUGCAGAAUUCAGUGAAUCAUCGAAUCUUUGAACUCACAUUGCGCCCCCUGGUAUUCCGGGGGGCAUGCCUGUUCGAGCGUCAUUACAACCCUCAAGCUCUGCUUGGUAUUGGGCCCCGCCAGUUCUGGCGGGCCCUAAAGUCAGUGGCGGUGCCUUCCGGCUCCGAGCGUAGUAAUUCUUCUCGCUCUGGAGACCCGGUUGUGUGCUUGCCAACAACCCCCAAUUUUUUAAGGUUGACCUCGGAUCAGGUAGGGAUACCCGCUGAACUUAAGCAUAUCAAUAAGCGGAGGA
This 329-nucleotide unclassified non-coding RNA is filed under the name soil metagenome. Its description in RNAcentral is "partial contains 5.8S ribosomal RNA, internal transcribed spacer 2, and large subunit ribosomal RNA". The stretch from base 1 to 120 matches the Rfam family "5.8S ribosomal RNA", at positions 35 to 154 of the family's 154-position model. The record is from RNAcentral.